GCCAGCAUAGCAUAGUGGUUUGAGCAUAGGAAUAUGCCUCCAGAGACCAAGGUUCAAUUCCUUGCUCGGCCA
Molecule: non-coding RNA, 72 nt
Organism: Phrynosoma platyrhinos (Desert horned lizard)
Lineage: Eukaryota; Metazoa; Chordata; Lepidosauria; Squamata; Phrynosomatidae
Source: the annotation of a GenBank genome assembly